ACGAACGCUGGCGGCGUGCUUAACACAUGCAAGUCGAACGGAAAGGCCCUGCUUUUGUGGGGUGCUCGAGUGGCGAACGGGUGAGUAACACGUGAGUAACCUGCCCUUGACUUUGGGAUAACUUCAGGAAACUGGGGCUAAUACCGGAUAGGAGCUCCUGCUGCAUGGUGGGGGUUGGAAAGUUUCGGCGGUUGGGGAUGGACUCGCGGCUUAUCAGCUUGUUGGUGGGGUAGUGGCUUACCAAGGCUUUGACGGGUAGCCGGCCUGAGAGGGUGACCGGCCACAUUGGGACUGAGAUACGGCCCAGACUCCUACGGGAGGCAGCAGUGGGGAAUAUUGCACGAUGGGCGGAAGCCGGAUGCAGCAACGCCGCGUGCGGGAGGACGGCCUUCGGGUUGUAAACCGCUUUCGCCUGUGACGAAGCGUGAGUGACGGGAAUGGGUAAAGAAGCACCGGCGAACUACGU
RNAcentral lists this ribosomal RNA (466 nucleotides) under uncultured bacterium. RNAcentral describes it as "partial 16S ribosomal RNA". It matches the Rfam family "Bacterial small subunit ribosomal RNA", at positions 29 to 506 of the family's 1533-position model. The record is from RNAcentral.